ACGAACGCUGGCGGCGUGCUUCACACCUGCCAGUCGCACGGAAAGGCCCUGCUUUUGUGGGGUGCUCGAGUGGCGAACGGGUGAGUAACACGUGAGUAACCUGCCCUUGACUUUGGGAUAACUUCAGGAAACUGGGGCUAAUACCGGAUAGGAGCUCCUGCUGCAUGGUGGGGGUUGGAAAGUUUCGGCGGUUGGGGAUGGGCUCGCGGCUUAUCAGCUUGUUGGUGGGGUAGUGGCUUACCAAGGCUUUGACGGGUAGCCGGCCUGAGAGGGUGACCGGCCACAUUGGGACUGAGAUACGGCCCAGACUCCUACGGGAGGCAGCAGUGGGGAAUAUUGCACAAUGGGCGGAAGCCUGAUGCAGCAACGCCGCGUGCGGGAUGACGGCCUUCGGGUUGUAAACCGCUUUCGCCUGUGACGAAGCGUGAGUGACGGUAAUGGGUAAAGAAGCACCGGCUAACUACGUG
This 467-nucleotide ribosomal RNA is filed under the name uncultured bacterium. RNAcentral's name for it is "partial 16S ribosomal RNA". It matches the Rfam family "Bacterial small subunit ribosomal RNA", at positions 29 to 507 of the family's 1533-position model. The record is from RNAcentral.